RNAcentral lists this ribosomal RNA (1117 nucleotides) under Salmonella enterica subsp. enterica serovar Enteritidis. RNAcentral describes it as "partial 23S ribosomal RNA". It matches the Rfam family "Bacterial large subunit ribosomal RNA", at positions 161 to 1318 of the family's 2925-position model. Lineage: Bacteria; Pseudomonadati; Pseudomonadota; Gammaproteobacteria; Enterobacterales; Enterobacteriaceae. The record is from RNAcentral.
AAUCCAUAGGUUAAUGAGGCGAACCGGGGGAACUGAAACAUCUAAGUACCCCGAGGAAAAGAAAUCAACCGAGAUUCCCCCAGUAGCGGCGAGCGAACGGGGAGGAGCCCAGAGCCUGAAUCAGCAUGUGUGUUAGUGGAAGCGUCUGGAAAGGCGCGCGAUACAGGGUGACAGCCCCGUACACAAAAGCGCAUGUGCUGUGAGCUCGAUGAGUAGGGCGGGACACGUGGUAUCCUGUCUGAAUAUGGGGGGACCAUCCUCCAAGGCUAAAUACUCCUGACUGACCGAUAGUGAACCAGUACCGUGAGGGAAAGGCGAAAAGAACCCCGGCGAGGGGAGUGAAAAAGAACCUGAAACCGUGUACGUACAAGCAGUGGGAGCACCCUUUGGGUGUGACUGCGUACCUUUUGUAUAAUGGGUCAGCGACUUAUAUUCUGUAGCAAGGUUAACCGAAUAGGGGAGCCGGAGGGAAACCGAGUCUUAACCGGGCGUUAAGUUGCAGGGUAUAGACCCGAAACCCGGUGAUCUAGCCAUGGGCAGGUUGAAGGUUGGGUAACACUAACUGGAGGACCGAACCGACUAAUGUUGAAAAAUUAGCGGAUGACCUGUGGCUGGGGGUGAAAGGCCAAUCAAACCGGGAGAUAGCUGGUUCUCCCCGAAAGCUAUUUAGGUAGCGCCUCGUGAAUUCAUCUCCGGGGGUAGAGCACUGUUUCGGCUAGGGGGCCAUCCCGGCUUACCAACCCGAUGCAAACUGCGAAUACCGGAGAAUGUUAUCACGGGAGACACACGGCGGGUGCUAACGUCCGUCGUGAAGAGGGAAACAACCCAGACCGCCAGCUAAGGUCCCAAAGUCAUGGUUAAGUGGGAAACGAUGUGGGAAGGCCCAGACAGCCAGGAUGUUGGCUUAGAAGCAGCCAUCAUUUAAAGAAAGCGUAAUAGCUCACUGGUCGAGUCGGCCUGCGCGGAAGAUGUAACGGGGCUAAACCAUGCACCGAAGCUGCGGCAGCGACACUGUGUGUUGUUGGGUAGGGGAGCGUUCUGUAAGCCUGUGAAGGUGUGUCGUGAGGCAUGCUGGAGGUAUCAGAAGUGCGAAUGCUGACAUAAGUAACGAUAAAGC